RNAcentral lists this long non-coding RNA (430 nucleotides) under Rattus norvegicus (Norway rat). RNAcentral describes it as "long non-coding RNA NONRATT028039". The record is from RNAcentral. Lineage: Eukaryota; Metazoa; Chordata; Mammalia; Rodentia; Muridae.
GGAGACGAGUACAAGAGAGUGAGAUAUGCACCGAGGGGUUGCUGGCCCCUACGGGCGCUUGUGAGGUCAGUGGGAGAGCCGCUGGGCCGGCCUGGGAAGGUUUGGGAACUGGAACUAUACUACUUGCUUACCAAGGGGGCAGGAUGUCAGGGGAGGUGGUCAGUCAUUGCCAAGGUCAAGCCUUCACCAGUUCUUCUACCUGCUAGGGUGACUACGGGGGCCCACUUGCCUGCUAUACCCAUGACUGCUGGGUCCUACAGGGACUUAUCAUCCCGAACAGAGUGUGUGCACGGCCUCGCUGGCCAGCUAUCUUCACACGUGUGUCUGUGUUUGUGGACUGGAUUAACAAGGUCGUGCAGCUGGAGUAGGCCUGCUUUCGAUCUCUUAGAGAUGACAAGGCUGCUUAUCAAACUAAAGCAAACUUUUCUCU